GCGCAGCAGUCGCGAAUUUUUCUCAAUGGGGGAAACCCUGAAGGAGCGACGCCGCGUGGAGGAUGAAGGCUUUCGGGUUGUAAACUCCUGUCAUUUGGGAACAAGUUGCACACGUUAACUGCGUGGGCAUUGAUAGUACCAGAAGAGGAAGGGACGGCUAACUCUGUGCCAGCAGCCGCGGUAAUACAGAGGUCCCAAGCGUUGUUCGGAUUCAUUGGGCGUAAAGGGUGCGUAGGUGGCGCUGUAAGUCGGGUGUGAAAUUUCGGAGCUUAACUCCGAAACUGCAUUCGAUACUGCGGUGCUUGAGGACUGGAGAGGAGACUGGAAUUCAUGGUGUAGCAGUGAAAUGCGUAGAGAUCAUGAGGAAGACCAGUGGCGAAGGCGGGUCUCUGGACAGUUCCUGACACUGAGGCACGAAGGCCAGGGGAGCAAACGGGAUUAGAUACCCCUGUAGU
RNAcentral lists this ribosomal RNA (455 nucleotides) under uncultured organism. Its description in RNAcentral is "bacterial SSU rRNA". It matches the Rfam family "Bacterial small subunit ribosomal RNA", at positions 346 to 794 of the family's 1533-position model. The record is from RNAcentral.